Molecule: transfer RNA, 73 nt
Filed under: Candidatus Nutricula glyptotermitis
Lineage: Bacteria; Bacillati; Actinomycetota; Actinomycetes; Bifidobacteriales; Bifidobacteriaceae
Description: tRNA-Arg
Rfam family: tRNA
About the family: Transfer RNA (tRNA) molecules are approximately 80 nucleotides in length.
Source: RNAcentral
GCGCUUGUGGCUCAAUGGAUAGAGCACUUGACUACGGAUCAAGAGGUUGGGGGUUCGAGUCCCUUCAAGCGCG